This 1105-nucleotide long non-coding RNA is filed under the name Struthio camelus australis. RNAcentral describes it as "lncRNA (ENSSCUG00000010567.1)". The record is from RNAcentral. Lineage: Eukaryota; Metazoa; Chordata; Aves; Struthioniformes; Struthionidae.
UAAUAUUUUUGUCUUUAUUACUUUUUCUUUUAAAACCCUGAGCCAUGUGAUUCAGGAUACAAUAAAUUCAUGAAACACAGUGAGGGAACAAAGUAGGAAGGCAUUUUAUUUAACAGUGCUUUUUUUUAAGAAGUUUUAUCUUGCUUGUUAAAGUAAGAUGAGAAGUUUUCUAUUAACUAGGCUGGGAAGCCUUAGGGGCCACUGAAAGCUUUUUAAUUGCAUAUUUAAUUAGAAAUGUGCUGGAGAGCUGGUGUUCAGCUUUUCUGAAGCUCAUGGCUCCUGACAAAAUGUCUGCUUUUAAGCCAUUUUGUCUCUUGAAAUGUUUUCUAAAAAGUAGGUUAAACAGAAAAAGCUUUAAUUUUGGCUAUUUUCACUUCAAAGGGAUUGCAUUGUUUUCUCAAACCUACUAUAAAACCAAGGUGAAAUGACAUCUUUAAAAGUAAGCGUUUUCAGGUAAAAUAAGACUUCUAAAAGACCAAUCUUUAAGGUGUCUAACAGUUUAUUGUUAUUCUGCCUAGCUCACCAGCAAGGCUGGAAGAUUGAAGAGAAAAGAAAGAGGAGGAUUAUGUUUGACCGCUACAGCACCCUGCUUUUGCCUCGCAAAGAGAAGGACAGUCUGCUUUACAGAAUCUGCAGGGAGUCAGCGAGAGUGGGAAGCCUUUCCUUUUCCAAGCACAGACAACUGUCAAUAUCUAACGAGGCACCUGCUCCUAUCUCACGGUUUCUAUAAAACCCCCAUUUUGCAUGAGCUGACAGCUCGUGGUAUGAAAGGCAGCAGUUUCCUCACAUUCAAGAGCUCAGCAGGAGUCUGACAAGGUAGGAUACUACCAUUAGCUGAUCACCAGUCAGUAAGUGCCGGGGAUGCUGCUUCACACAAAGAGCCCAACAUUGUCUUUUUGCAAGAUAGCAGAUCUUGAGCUGGCAGGAGCUCGGUGGUGUACUCCCACCUCCCACAUUACCUGAGUCAUUAGAAUUGCUGAAGAUUUCGUAGCAAGGCAAACGUAUAUGGAUGUGUGUGUGUGUGUGUGUAUAGGUAUAUCUAUAUAUGGAUCUAUGCUUCAGGAUGUGUUGUAGUAAUUGCUUUCAAAUCCACCUGAUUUAUAUC